UACGUAGGGGGCAAGCGUUGUCCGGAAUCAUUGGGCGUAAAGAGCGUGUAGGCGGUCAGGUAGGUCCGUUGUGAAAACUCGAGGCUCAACCUCGAGACGCCGAUGGAAACCAUCUGACUAGAGUCCGGAAGAGGAGAGUGGAAUUCCUGGUGUAGCGGUGAAAUGCGCAGAUAUCAGGAAGAACACCCGUGGCUAAGGCGGCUCUCUAGUACGGUACUGACGCUGAGACGCGAAAGCGUGGGGAGCGAACAGG
RNAcentral lists this ribosomal RNA (253 nucleotides) under uncultured bacterium. RNAcentral describes it as "partial 16S ribosomal RNA". It matches the Rfam family "Bacterial small subunit ribosomal RNA", at positions 524 to 776 of the family's 1533-position model. The record is from RNAcentral.